RNAcentral lists this ribosomal RNA (496 nucleotides) under uncultured bacterium. Its description in RNAcentral is "partial 16S ribosomal RNA". It matches the Rfam family "Bacterial small subunit ribosomal RNA", at positions 29 to 507 of the family's 1533-position model. The record is from RNAcentral.
AUGAACGCUGGCGGCGUGCCUAAUACAUGCAAGUCGAGCGAACAGACGAGGAGCUUGCUCCUCUGACGUUAGCGGCGGACGGGUGAGUAACACGUGGAUAACCUACCUAUAAGACUGGGAUAACUUCGGGAAACCGGAGCUAAUACCGGAUAAUAUAUUGAACCGCAUGGUUCAAUAGUGAAAGACGGUUUUGCUGUCACUUAUAGAUGGAUCCGCGCCGCAUUAGCUAGUUGGUAAGGUAACGGCUUACCAAGGCAACGAUGCGUAGCCGACCUGAGAGGGUGAUCGGCCACACUGGAACUGAGACACGGUCCAGACUCCUACGGGAGGCAGCAGUAGGGAAUCUUCCGCAAUGGGCGAAAGCUUGACGGAGCAACGCCACGUGAGUGAUGAAGGUCUUCGGAUCGUAAAACUCUGUUAUUAGGGAAGAACAAAUGUGUAAGUAACUAUGCACGUCUUGACGGUACCUAAUCAGAAAGCCACGGCUAACUACGUG